This 446-nucleotide ribosomal RNA is filed under the name uncultured bacterium. RNAcentral describes it as "partial 16S ribosomal RNA". It matches the Rfam family "Bacterial small subunit ribosomal RNA", at positions 338 to 795 of the family's 1533-position model. The record is from RNAcentral.
CCUACGGGAGGCAGCAGUCGAGAAUCAUUCACAAUGGGGGAAACCCUGAUGGUGCGACGCCGCGUGGGGGAAUGAAGGUCUUCGGAUUGUAAACCCCUGUCAUGUGGGAGCAAAUUAAAAAGAUAGUACCCCAAGAGGAAGUGACGGCUAAGUCUGUGUCAGCUGCCGCGGUAAUACCGGGGUCUCAAGCAGUGUUCGGAAUUACUGGGCGUAAAGCGUGCGGAGGUUGGUUCGUCAGACGUGUGUGAAAGGUGCGGGCUCAACCCGCGUCGGGCAGAGGAUACUGCGAGACUGGAGUAAGGGAGGGGUAUCCGGAAUUCGCGGUGUAGCAGUGAAAUGCGUAGAUAUCGAGAGGAACACUGGUGGCGAAGGCGGGUUCCUGGACAUUAACUGACGCUGAGGCACGAAGGCCAGGGGAGCGAAAGGGAUUAGAUACCCUAGUAGUC